RNAcentral lists this ribosomal RNA (393 nucleotides) under uncultured bacterium. RNAcentral's name for it is "bacterial SSU rRNA". It matches the Rfam family "Bacterial small subunit ribosomal RNA", at positions 28 to 421 of the family's 1533-position model. The record is from RNAcentral.
GACGAACGCUGGCGGCGUGCUUAACACAUGCAAGUCGAGCGGUAAGGCCCUUUCGGGGGUACACGAGCGGCGAACGGGUGAGUAACACGUGGGCGACCUGCCCUUAGCUCUGGGAUAAGCCUGGGAAACUGGGUCUAAUACCGGAUAUGACUCCAUGACGCAUGUUGUGGGGUGGAAAGCCUUGUGCGGCUAGGGAUGGGCCCGCGGCCUAUCAGCUUGUUGGUGGGGUGAUGGCCUACCAAGGCGACGACGGGUAGCCGGCCUGAGAGGGCGACCGGCCACACUGGGACUGAGACACGGCCCAGACUCCUACGGGAGGCAGCAGGUGGGGAAUCUUGCGCAAUGGGCGAAAGCCUGACGCAGCGACGCCGCGUGAGGGAUGACGGCCUUCGG